CCUACGGGUGACAGCAGUGAGGAAUAUUGGUCAAUGGCCGGAAGGCUGAACCAGCCAAGCCGCGUGAAGGACGAAGGUGCCAAGCAUUGUAAACUUCUUUUGUCAAGGGACAAAAUCAGGCUCGAGAGCCUGACCGAGUGUACAUGAAGAAAAAGCAUCGGCUAACUACGUGCCAGCAGCCGCGGUAAUACGGGGGAUGCGAGCGUUAUCCGGAUUUAUUGGGUUUAAAGGGUGCGUAGGCGGACUGUUAAGUCAGCGGUAAAAGCCCGGGGCUCAACCCCGGCGCGCCGUUGAAACUGGCGGGCUUGAGAUGUCGAGAGGUAUGCGGAAUGCGCAGUGUAGCGGUGAAAUGCUUAGAUAUAGCGCAGAACUCCGAUGGCGAAGGCAGCAUACCGGCGGCGAUCUGACGCUGAGGCACGAAAGCGUGGGUAGCGAACAGGAUUAGAUACCCCGGUAGUC
This 459-nucleotide ribosomal RNA is filed under the name uncultured bacterium. RNAcentral's name for it is "partial 16S ribosomal RNA". It matches the Rfam family "Bacterial small subunit ribosomal RNA", at positions 338 to 795 of the family's 1533-position model. The record is from RNAcentral.